This 441-nucleotide small RNA is filed under the name Arabidopsis thaliana (thale cress). RNAcentral describes it as "ATSL294790". Lineage: Eukaryota; Viridiplantae; Streptophyta; Magnoliopsida; Brassicales; Brassicaceae. The record is from RNAcentral.
AAGUAAGCUGAAAUCAAAAUGUUCAGUAAUGUAGUCUGAUUGUGCCUCCUCCCACGUGAUUAUAGACUACUAUCACUUGGAAUUAUCAUUGGAAAAGUCAUUACCUGAAAUCUACCAUAGAGCUAUCAACAUCACAUCUUCCUUGCCAUGUUUUAUACAUUCUGAGGCUCCGAAUGGUGACUGCGUUUUGCGGUGCGGAAGAAGUGCGGUGCGGUUCAAAUAGGAACGAAAAUACAUAGAUACAUAUGUAUAUGUAAAGAUUUUGAUACUGUUACAGCACUGUUGCGAUACGGUUUUGGUUACCAUUCACAGCCUGAGUAUCACCACCUACUUUUGUUUGUCAUCUGUCAAAACAUGAAUCUCAAACAUGUAGAGAAGCAAAGGAGGUGUUUGCAUCAAUGGCGAGGGAUGACUCUAGCAUCUCUAAGCCUCAUUCGCGAA